GCGUCCGCCAGCGAGGACCGGCUGCGCUCCGCGUUCGCGGCGGACGACACCGAGACGGUCGUGGACCUCGUGUUCGAGACCGGUUCGGGCGUG
Molecule: transfer RNA, 93 nt
Filed under: Cellulomonas pakistanensis
Lineage: Bacteria; Bacillati; Actinomycetota; Actinomycetes; Micrococcales; Cellulomonadaceae
Description: tRNA-Arg
Source: RNAcentral